AGAGCGAACGCUGGCGGCAUGCUUAACACAUGCAAGUCGCACGGUCAGCAAUGGCAGUGGCGGACGGGUGAGUAACACGUAGGAAUCUAUCCCAGGGUGGGGGACAACAGUGGGAAACUACUGCUAAUACCGCAUGAUACCUGAGGGUCAAAGGCGCAAGUCGCCUUGGGAGGAGCCUGCGUCUGAUUAGCUUGUUGGUGGGGUAAAGGCCUACCAAGGCUACGAUCAGUAGCUGGUCUGAGAGGAUGAUCAGCCACAUUGGGACUGAGACACGGGCCCAAACUCCUACGGGAGGCAGCAGUGGGGAAUAUUGGACAAUGGGCGAAAGCCUGAUCCAGCAAUGCCGCGUGUGUGAAGAAGGUCUUCGGAUUGUAAAGCACUUUUGGCAGGGACGAUGAUGACGGUACCUGCAGAAUAAGCCCCGGCUAACUUCGCGCCAGCAGCCGCGGUAA
This 452-nucleotide ribosomal RNA is filed under the name uncultured bacterium. RNAcentral's name for it is "SSU rRNA". It matches the Rfam family "Bacterial small subunit ribosomal RNA", at positions 26 to 523 of the family's 1533-position model. The record is from RNAcentral.